This 1664-nucleotide ribosomal RNA is filed under the name Mycobacterium tuberculosis. RNAcentral describes it as "bacterial LSU rRNA". It matches the Rfam family "Bacterial large subunit ribosomal RNA", at positions 1281 to 2925 of the family's 2925-position model. The record is from RNAcentral. Lineage: Bacteria; Bacillati; Actinomycetota; Actinomycetes; Mycobacteriales; Mycobacteriaceae.
AUCAGAAGUGCGAAUGCUGACAUAAGUAACGAUAAAGCGGGUGAAAAGCCCGCUCGCCGGAAGACCAAGGGUUCCUGUCCAACGUUAAUCGGGGCAGGGUGAGUCGACCCCUAAGGCGAGGCCGAAAGGCGUAGUCGAUGGGAAACAGGUUAAUAUUCCUGUACUUGGUGUUACUGCGAAGGGGGGACGGAGAAGGCUAUGUUGGCCGGGCGACGGUUGUCCCGGUUUAAGCGUGUAGGCUGGUUUUCCAGGCAAAUCCGGAAAAUCAAGGCUGAGGCGUGAUGACGAGGCACUACGGUGCUGAAGCAACAAAUGCCCUGCUUCCAGGAAAAGCCUCUAAGCAUCAGGUAACAUCAAAUCGUACCCCAAACCGACACAGGUGGUCAGGUAGAGAAUACCAAGGCGCUUGAGAGAACUCGGGUGAAGGAACUAGGCAAAAUGGUGCCGUAACUUCGGGAGAAGGCACGCUGAUAUGUAGGUGAAGUCCCUCGCGGAUGGAGCUGAAAUCAGUCGAAGAUACCAGCUGGCUGCAACUGUUUAUUAAAAACACAGCACUGUGCAAACACGAAAGUGGACGUAUACGGUGUGACGCCUGCCCGGUGCCGGAAGGUUAAUUGAUGGGGUCAGCGCAAGCGAAGCUCUUGAUCGAAGCCCCGGUAAACGGCGGCCGUAACUAUAACGGUCCUAAGGUAGCGAAAUUCCUUGUCGGGUAAGUUCCGACCUGCACGAAUGGCGUAAUGAUGGCCAGGCUGUCUCCACCCGAGACUCAGUGAAAUUGAACUCGCUGUGAAGAUGCAGUGUACCCGCGGCAAGACGGAAAGACCCCGUGAACCUUUACUAUAGCUUGACACUGAACAUUGAGCCUUGAUGUGUAGGAUAGGUGGGAGGCUUUGAAGUGUGGACGCCAGUCUGCAUGGAGCCGACCUUGAAAUACCACCCUUUAAUGUUUGAUGUUCUAACGUUGACCCGUAAUCCGGGUUGCGGACAGUGUCUGGUGGGUAGUUUGACUGGGGCGGUCUCCUCCUAAAGAGUAACGGAGGAGCACGAAGGUUGGCUAAUCCUGGUCGGACAUCAGGAGGUUAGUGCAAUGGCAUAAGCCAGCUUGACUGCGAGCGUGACGGCGCGAGCAGGUGCGAAAGCAGGUCAUAGUGAUCCGGUGGUUCUGAAUGGAAGGGCCAUCGCUCAACGGAUAAAAGGUACUCCGGGGAUAACAGGCUGAUACCGCCCAAGAGUUCAUAUCGACGGCGGUGUUUGGCACCUCGAUGUCGGCUCAUCACAUCCUGGGGCUGAAGUAGGUCCCAAGGGUAUGGCUGUUCGCCAUUUAAAGUGGUACGCGAGCUGGGUUUAGAACGUCGUGAGACAGUUCGGUCCCUAUCUGCCGUGGGCGCUGGAGAAUUGAGGGGGGCUGCUCCUAGUACGAGAGGACCGGAGUGGACGCAUCACUGGUGUUCGGGUUGUCAUGCCAAUGGCACUGCCCGGUAGCUAAAUGCGGAAGAGAUAAGUGCUGAAAGCAUCUAAGCACGAAACUUGCCCCGAGAUGAGUUCUCCCUGACUCCUUGAGAGUCCUGAAGGAACGUUGAAGACGACGACGUUGAUAGGCCGGGUGUGUAAGCGCAGCGAUGCGUUGAGCUAACCGGUACUAAUGAACCGUGAGGCUUAACCUU